Molecule: ribosomal RNA, 495 nt
Filed under: uncultured bacterium
Lineage: Bacteria
Description: partial 16S ribosomal RNA
Rfam family: Bacterial small subunit ribosomal RNA
Source: RNAcentral
GACGAACGCUGGCGGCGUGCCUAAUACAUGCAAGUAGAACGCUGAAGGAGGAGCUUGCUCUUCUGGAUGAGUUGCGAACGGGUGAGUAACGCGUAGGUAACCUGCCUGGUAGCGGGGGAUAACUAUUGGAAACGAUAGCUAAUACCGCAUAAGAGUAGAUGUUGCAUGACAUUUACUUAAAAGGUGCAAUUGCAUCACUACCAGAUGGACCUGCGUUGUAUUAGCUAGUUGGUGGGGUAACGGCUUACCAAGGCGACGAUACAUAGCCGACCUGAGAGGGUGAUCGGCCACACUGGGACUGAGACACGGCCCAGACUCCUACGGGAGGCAGCAGUAGGGAAUCUUCGGCAAUGGACGGAAGUCUGACCGAGCAACGCCGCGUGAGUGAAGAAGGUUUUCGGAUCGUAAAGCUCUGUUGUAAGAGAAGAACGAGUAUGAGAGUGGAAAGUUCACACUGUGACGGUAUCUUACCAGAAAGGGACGGCUAACUACGUG